This is a long non-coding RNA of Cyanistes caeruleus (blue tit), 404 nucleotides long. RefSeq lists it as uncharacterized. The record is from RefSeq and is a predicted model, not a curated record. Lineage: Eukaryota; Metazoa; Chordata; Aves; Passeriformes; Paridae.
CAACAUAAUGGCUUCACAGAACCCCUACACACUGUGGUUAAUUAGGAGUGCAUUAGGAUUUCAGUGUUUAAGGGAUGAGAAGAAAAAAGAUAAAAUACCUUUUUUAAUGGUUGUAGAAUGGUUCUAAGAAAAGCCUUCCACAAAGUGAAGUUAUCUGGAGCACAGAGCCCUUCUGCACCAUUAGGAAUUGUGUGUUUACACUGAUUCCCUGCAGCACCACUUGAACUCUUCAACUCCUCCUCUUCCAAGGAUGAAAUCCUGUGGCAUGGAAACUCCAGUGCGAUGUCUUAGGCCUCACUUCAAAUGGCUACAGGAAAUGGAAUAGCUGCUGGGGAAAAAGUAGCAUGUGCUGUGUGGACAAAGAAUUUGCCUGGGUAGAAAAACAACUUUCAAAAAAAGAGGAG